Molecule: small RNA, 420 nt
Filed under: Histoplasma capsulatum
Lineage: Eukaryota; Fungi; Ascomycota; Eurotiomycetes; Onygenales; Ajellomycetaceae
Also listed under: 1 other name
Description: hypothetical RNA
Source: RNAcentral
CAAGCAAAGGUCGGGUUUGUUUUGCCUCUGACGCACUAAAUCCACUGCGGAAAGGUCUAUUAAACACGCCCAACAUCGUGUCACGUGGGCUGUGGUAGGUUGAUGAGACUUGUCCCAGAAGGCUAAAAACUCGUAUGAUCUUGUGAUACUCGGGAUUUUAGGGUUCGAAUAUACCUGAAAUCACAACUGGUUAAAUGUGUUUUGGAGGAAUUGGAUACAAGAACAAGAUGUUCCUGAGGAUAUACAGUUUGCAGGCUGGGCGAGCCGGAGGCCCCUGAGCAUCUUUGAGGAAAACGGUGCUCUUGCGGCCCCAAGAGAGAAAGUUGGCUCUUGAAGCGAGUCAGUCUCGACUCUGUCGGCUAUCAUGGUGUGAAUACGCGGGCAAUGUUAGGGAAACCGACACCAUUGCUAAAAGCUGCC